This 523-nucleotide ribosomal RNA is filed under the name uncultured soil bacterium. RNAcentral describes it as "bacterial SSU rRNA". It matches the Rfam family "Bacterial small subunit ribosomal RNA", at positions 26 to 527 of the family's 1533-position model. The record is from RNAcentral.
AGAAUGAACGCUGGCGGCGUGCUUUACACAUGCAAGUCGAGCGAGGCGGGUAGCAAUACCCAGUCGAGCGGCGAACGGGUGAGUAACGCGUGGAUGACCUGCCUUGAGGUGGGGGAUAACUCGGGGAAACUCGAGCUAAUACCGCAUAUGACCGUGAGGUCAAAGGGGGCGCAAGCUCCCGCCAUGAGAGGGGUCCGCGUCCGAUUAGCUAGUUGGUGGGGUAAUGGCCUACCAAGGCGACGAUCGGUAGCCGGCCUGAGAGGGUGAUCGGCCACACUGGAACUGAGACACGGUCCAGACUCCUACGGGAGGCAGCAGUGGGAAUUUGCGCAAUGGGCUAACGCCUGACGCAGCAACGCCGCGUGGAGGAUGAAGGUCUUUGGAUUGUAAACUUCCUGUCAGACGAAGGGAAAAAGGAAGUAGAACCUAAGUACGUACACUGACUUGAUUGUACCUGCAGAGGAACGCCCCGGUACUAACCGUCUACGUCGACCGAGUACCACGGCCGACGGUAACUCGUAGA